GACGAACGCUGGCGGCGUGCCUAAUACAUGCAAGUAGAACGCUGAAGGAGGAGCUUGCCCUUCUGGAUGAGUUGCGAACGGGUGAGUAACGCGUAGGUAACCUGCCUGGUAGCGGGGGAUAACUAUUGGAAACGACAGCUAAUACCGCAUAACAGUAGAUGUUGCAUGACAUUUACUUAAAAGGUGCAAUUGCAUCACUACCAGAUGGACCUGCGUUGUAUUAGCUAGUUGGUGGGGUAACGGCUCACCAAGGCGACGAUACAUAGCCGACCUGAGAGGGUGAUCGGCCACACUGGGACUGAGACACGGCCCAGACUCCUACGGGAGGCAGCAGUAGGGAAUCUUCGGCAAUGGACGGAAGUCUGACCGAGCAACGCCGCGUGAGUGAAGAAGGUUUUCGGAUCGUAAAGCUCUGUUGUAAGAGAAGAACGAGUGUGAGAGUGGAAAGUUCACACUGUGACGGUAUCUUACCAGAAAGGGACGGCUAACUACGUG
This 495-nucleotide ribosomal RNA is filed under the name uncultured bacterium. RNAcentral describes it as "partial 16S ribosomal RNA". It matches the Rfam family "Bacterial small subunit ribosomal RNA", at positions 28 to 507 of the family's 1533-position model. The record is from RNAcentral.